This 100-nucleotide small nuclear RNA is filed under the name Sciurus vulgaris (Eurasian red squirrel). The record is from RNAcentral. Lineage: Eukaryota; Metazoa; Chordata; Mammalia; Rodentia; Sciuridae.
CAAUGCUUCCUCUGGCACUAAAAACUAGAAAAUACAGAGAAGAUUAGCAUGGUCCCCACAUAAGAAUGACACAAAAAUUUGUGAAAUGUUCCAUAUUUUU